GUUUAAUGAUAGGAUUCAUGGCCGAUGCAGGCGCUCUUUGAACAUUGCCAAACUUUUGACACCCCUGGCAUCCCUUAAAAUAUUUAAAGCAAUCUUCAAGAAUAGUUGGCCAAUAAUAUCUAUUUCUCCUGAUCAUCCACUUCAUCUUAAAAGCUGAUUGAUGUGUGUUGGGUAUUUUAAACGCAAACAGAAAAAUCCGCAAGUGCACGGAUACCGAUGUAGCUUUCACCCGGGAGUAUUCCAGAGUAUCGAUUUUCCACAGAGAACGUGAGUGUACUUAUUAAGAUCCAAGAUCGCCCAAGG
RNAcentral lists this long non-coding RNA (303 nucleotides) under Sorghum bicolor (sorghum). RNAcentral describes it as "long non-coding RNA (SBIC_LNC012661)". Lineage: Eukaryota; Viridiplantae; Streptophyta; Magnoliopsida; Poales; Poaceae. The record is from RNAcentral.